RNAcentral lists this ribosomal RNA (253 nucleotides) under uncultured bacterium. Its description in RNAcentral is "partial 16S ribosomal RNA". It matches the Rfam family "Bacterial small subunit ribosomal RNA", at positions 524 to 776 of the family's 1533-position model. The record is from RNAcentral.
UACGUAGGGGGCAAGCGUUGUCCGGAAUCAUUGGGCGUAAAGAGCGUGUAGGCGGCUCGGUAAGUCCGCUCUGAAAGCCCGGGGCUCAACCCCGGGAGGCGGGCGGACACUGUCGGGCUAGAGUCCGGAAGAGGCGAGUGGAAUUCCUGGUGUAGCGGUGAAAUUCGUAGAUAUUGGGAAGAACACCAGUGGCGAAGGCGGCUCACUGGCUCGUAACUGACGCUCAGGCGCGACAGCGUGGGGAUCAAACAGG